RNAcentral lists this ribosomal RNA (468 nucleotides) under Triticum aestivum (bread wheat). RNAcentral's name for it is "partial small subunit ribosomal RNA". The record is from RNAcentral. Lineage: Eukaryota; Viridiplantae; Streptophyta; Magnoliopsida; Poales; Poaceae.
CGUCGUGGAUGGCCAAAUUGUAGUAUAUUCCAACUUUGCAAGUAGGAGCUGGAGAUGGCGGCUCAUCUUUUUUUCAAGUGUAGAUGCACAAGGCGGAUAUUUCUCGAAAAAAAGAAUUGGCUUGGUCUAAAACACAUCAACUUGGACAACUGGAGCAACUUUAAGUCGGUCAAAGAUUGAUGGUACUACAUGGUAAAUGCCAACGUUGAUGUGAGGAAAGGUAUCUCACCCAUGGUUAUGUUGGCUUCACAAAAGAUUUGGAACGAGAGAAAUGCAAGAGUCUUCAAGGGAGUAGCGUCCAUGCCCGGUGUAAUAGCAAGUAGGAUUGAGGAGGAGUCCACGCUUUUGGGCAUAUCGGGAACUAAAUGCUACUCCCACAUGAGUCAUUGGGAUUCCCCCAAGAGGAAGGGUGAAUCAGCAAACAUCAAGUAUCCCUCUCAGUUCGAGAACCAAGGUUUAUCAAACUAG